Molecule: ribosomal RNA, 459 nt
Filed under: uncultured bacterium
Lineage: Bacteria
Description: partial 16S ribosomal RNA
Rfam family: Bacterial small subunit ribosomal RNA
Source: RNAcentral
AACGAACGCUGGCGGCAGGCCUAACACAUGCAAGUCGAACGUGAAGCCACCUUCGGGUGGUGGAAAGUGGCAGCCGGGUGAGUAACGCGUGGGAACGUGCCUUUCGGUUCGGAAUAACCCAGGGAAACUUGGGCUAAUACCGGAUACGCCCUUCGGGGGAAAGAUUUAUCGCCGAAAGAUCGGCCCGCGUCGGAUUAGCUAGUUGGUAGGGUAAUGGCCUACCAAGGCGACGAUCCGUAGCUGGUCUGAGAGGAUGACCAGCCACACUGGGACUGAGACACGGCCCAGACUCCUACGGGAGGCAGCAGUGGGGAAUAUUGGACAAUGGGCGAAAGCCUGAUCCAGCCAUGCCGCGUGGGUGAAGAAGGCCCCAGGGUUGUAAACCCCUUUCAGCGGGGAAGAUAAUGACGGUACCCGCAGAAGAAGCCCCGGCUAACUCCGUGCCAGCAGCCGCAGUAA